UGCAAGUCGAACGAUGAAGGAGUCUUCGGACUGCGGAAGAGUGGCGAACGGGUGAGGAACACGUAAGAAUCUGCCCCUCGGUCGGGGACAACUCUUGGAAACGAGAGCUAAUACCCGAUACGCUGUGGAGUGAAAGAAUUUCGCCGAGGGAUGACCUUGCGUCUGAUUAGCUAGUUGGUGUGGUAACUGCACACCAAGGCGACGAUCAGUAGCUGGUCUGAGAGGAUGGACAGCCACAUUGGAACUGAGACACGGUCCAAACUCC
Molecule: ribosomal RNA, 265 nt
Filed under: unidentified marine bacterioplankton
Lineage: Bacteria
Also listed under: 1 other name
Description: partial 16S ribosomal RNA
Rfam family: Bacterial small subunit ribosomal RNA
Source: RNAcentral